AAUGAACGUUGGCGGCGUGGAUUAGGCAUGCAAGUCGUACGGGGAGCAAUCCGUCGUGGCGCAAGGGUGAGUAAGGCGACGGUAACCUACCCCAGGGCUGACUAUAGCCGCGGGAAACCGCGGGUAAUGGUCAGCGACGUGGCCCGGGAGGCAUCUCCUGGCCACCAAAGGUGUUGAUUCCGCCCUGGGACGGGCCGUCGUGGUAUUAGGUAGUUGGCGGGGUGAUGGCCCACCAAGCCUCUGAUGCCUACCGGGCGUGCGAGCGUGGCCCGGCACACUGGGACU
This 285-nucleotide ribosomal RNA is filed under the name uncultured bacterium. RNAcentral's name for it is "partial 16S ribosomal RNA". It matches the Rfam family "Bacterial small subunit ribosomal RNA", at positions 28 to 320 of the family's 1533-position model. The record is from RNAcentral.